Molecule: ribosomal RNA, 507 nt
Filed under: uncultured Lachnospiraceae bacterium
Lineage: Bacteria; Bacillati; Bacillota; Clostridia; Lachnospirales; Lachnospiraceae
Description: bacterial SSU rRNA
Rfam family: Bacterial small subunit ribosomal RNA
Source: RNAcentral
CCGCAUAAGCCCUUAGCACUGCAUGGUGCAUAGGGAAAAGGAGCAAUCCGGUACAGGAUGGACCCGCGUCUGAUUAGCCAGUUGGCAGGGUAACGGCCUACCAAAGCGACGAUCAGUAGCCGAUCUGAGAGGAUGUACGGCCACAUUGGGACUGAGACACGGCCCAGACUCCUACGGGAGGCAGCAGUGGGGAAUAUUGCACAAUGGAGGAAACUCUGAUGCAGCGACGCCGCGUGAGUGAAGAAGUAUUUCGGUAUGUAAAGCUCUAUCAGCAGGGAAGAAAAUGACGGUACCUGACUAAGAAGCACCGGCUAAAUACGUGCCAGCAGCCGCGGUAAUACGUAUGGUGCAAGCGUUAUCCGGAUUUACUGGGUGUAAAGGGAGCGUAGGUGGCAAGGCAAGCCAGAAGUGAAAACCCGGGGCUCAACCGCGGGAUUGCUUUUGGAACUGUCAUGCUAGAGUGCAGGAGGGGUGAGCGGAAUUCCUAGUGUAGCGGUGAAAUGCGUA